UUUUCACUGAUUUUUCUGUUAUUCUCUUUCCCUGAUUAUUAAAAUCAGGAAAUUUCGAACAGCUGAUGUCAAAAGAGACUGGAUGCCAGAAAUUAACCCGCUAAAAAUAGCUAACAUAAGCAGUGCGAAAGCAAAUUUCAAGGAAUGACAAAUACUUUUAAUAACGUGCAACUAAAUUUUAUUUGCUAAUUUAAUUUAAAACGUUGAUCAGAAAACCAUGAUCUUUUAUUAUGACUUGUAUUGUUUCUUUGUUAUAAUUUUUUUUUAUUUAUAUGCAGUUUUUUUAUGUUUUAUGAUAGUUCAAAAAUUUUAUAAUAUGAAUACGCGUAUUUAAGGAUGUAUAUGCGUUAUAUAAGCCUACUCGGUUACGGAGCACCUAAAUUGGCAUGAUUGAUAAAUGCUAUAAAAAAUCUGGGUUUAGACAGCUCUCUCUCAAAUCAAAGAGUUUCGUUUCAUUUCAUCCUUGACAUGGCAACGCUCUAAUUAGAACCAGGGAUUAGAACUGUGUCUGCUGCACAAUCCGGCACCAUAAUAGGUCUUCGUGUGAGAACUCAGUGUUAGUUUAUUUCUGGUGGAAUCUGCAUUAUAACAAAUCAUGUGUGGUAUUUUUUGCGGUUUAAACUGUGAUAAAGUUUGUAGGAGAACUGAACUUAAAAAUAUUUUGACACGACGAGGACCUGAUUUUUCAUCUUCCGUUGCAAUCAAUUAUGAUAAUAUACAAAUGGUUUUUGCAUGUUCAGUACUUUGGCAACAAGGAUUAAGUGUUUGCCCACAACCUUUUGAAACUG
Molecule: non-coding RNA, 788 nt
Organism: Bactrocera oleae (olive fruit fly)
Lineage: Eukaryota; Metazoa; Arthropoda; Insecta; Diptera; Tephritidae
Source: RefSeq, a predicted model, not a curated record